UACAGAGGGUGCAAGCGUUGUUCGGGAUUAUUGGGCGGAAAGCGCGUGUAGGCGGCUUUGCAAGUCGGGUGUGAAAGCCCUCAGCUCAACUGAGGAAGUGCGCCCGAAACUGCAGAGCUUGAGUGCCGGAGAGGGUGGCGGAAUUCCCCAAGUAGAGGUGAAAUUCGUAGAUAUGGGGAGGAACACCGGUGGCGAAGGCGGCCACCUGGACGGUAACUGACGCUGAGACGCGAAAGCGUGGGGAGCAAACAGG
RNAcentral lists this ribosomal RNA (253 nucleotides) under uncultured bacterium. Its description in RNAcentral is "partial 16S ribosomal RNA". It matches the Rfam family "Bacterial small subunit ribosomal RNA", at positions 524 to 776 of the family's 1533-position model. The record is from RNAcentral.